UCGGAUAUGGUGUAACGGCUAACAUUGCCGCCUCUCAUAGCAAAAGUACGUUGAGCUACGCGGCAGCUCGGGGUUCGAUUCCCCGUAUCCGAA
Molecule: transfer RNA, 93 nt
Filed under: Armillaria luteobubalina
Lineage: Eukaryota; Fungi; Basidiomycota; Agaricomycetes; Agaricales; Physalacriaceae
Rfam family: tRNA
About the family: Transfer RNA (tRNA) molecules are approximately 80 nucleotides in length. Their secondary structure includes four short double-helical elements and three loops (D, anti-codon, and T loops).
Source: Rfam by way of RNAcentral